UGCCAGCAGCCGCGGUAAUACGGAGGGUGCAAGCGUUGUUCGGAAUUAUUGGGCGUAAAGCGCGUGUAGGCGGUUCGUUAAGUCUGAUGUGAAAGCCCGGGGCUCAACCCCGGAAGUGCAUUGGAAACUGGCGAACUUGAGUACGGGAGAGGAAAGUGGAAUUCCGAGUGUAGGGGUGAAAUCCGUAGAUAUUCGGAGGAACACCAGUGGCGAAGGCGACUUCCUGGCUCGUAACUGACGCUGAGACGCGAAAGCGUGGGGAGCAAACAGGAUUAGAUA
Molecule: ribosomal RNA, 279 nt
Filed under: uncultured bacterium
Lineage: Bacteria
Description: partial 16S ribosomal RNA
Rfam family: Bacterial small subunit ribosomal RNA
Source: RNAcentral